Molecule: ribosomal RNA, 427 nt
Filed under: uncultured bacterium
Lineage: Bacteria
Description: bacterial SSU rRNA
Rfam family: Bacterial small subunit ribosomal RNA
Source: RNAcentral
UAGGGAAUAUUGGACAAUGGGGGCAACCCUGAUCCAGCCAUGCCGCGUGAGUGAAGAAGGCCCUCGGGUUGUAACGCUCUUUUGUCCGGAAAGAAAAGCUUCGGGUUAAUACCCCGGGGUUCUGACGGUACCGGAAGAAUAAGCACCGGCUAACUUCGUGCCAGCAGCCGCGGUAAUACGAAGGGUGCAAGCGUUACUCGGAAUUACUGGGCGUAAAGCGUGCGUAGGUGGUUGUUUAAGUCUGAUGUGAAAGCCCUGGGCUCAACCUGGGAAUGGCAUUGGAGACUGGGCAGCUAGAGUGCGGUAGAGGGUAGUGGAAUUCCCGGUGUAGCAGUGAAAUGCGUAGAGAUCGGGAGGAACAUCUGUGGCGAAGGCGACUGCCUGGACCAGCACUGACACUGAGGCACGAAAGCGUGGGGAGCAAACA